This 333-nucleotide ribosomal RNA is filed under the name Triticum aestivum (bread wheat). RNAcentral's name for it is "partial small subunit ribosomal RNA". The record is from RNAcentral. Lineage: Eukaryota; Viridiplantae; Streptophyta; Magnoliopsida; Poales; Poaceae.
AUGCACGGAAUCAUGUGCUGCCAUAUCCUCAGAGUUAUGGUUUUGAAUGGAGUAAAGCUUUUUCCAUGCCAUUUCAUACGCCGGCACUGGACUUGGGACGCUGAGGAGGCGCUAGGUCCACAUGGCACACAAGCAGUGUUGGCAUUGCAUGAGGACAUGCCCGAGGCAAUUAUGGACUCGGUGAGGCAUAUGGUCAUGACUAAGUACUUCUCUGAAAUAGCAGGUCACGCAUGCAAGUGCGGUGAAAUGAAUAGGGUAGUAGAGGAACACAAAAAAUCCCUUAAAAGAGAGCUUGGAGAGAUAAAAAAGGAAGGCUGGGGAGGUGUUGCAUAG